GAUAAGAACGUAGCGAAAUGCGAUACUUGGUGUGAAUUGCAGAAUCCCGUGAACCAUCGAGUCUUUGAACGCAAGUUGCGCCCGAAGCCAUUAGGCCGAGGGCACGCCUGCCUGGGCGUCACACGUCGUUGCCCCCCCAUCUACUCCUUCGGGAUUGCGGGGGGCGGAUGAUGGCCUCCCGUGCGCCUCGCCGCGCGGUUGGCAUAAAUGCCAAGUCCUCGGCGACGCACGCCACGACAAUCGGUGGUUGCGAAACCUCGGUUGCCCGUCGUGUGCGGUCGUCGCGCAUCGAGGGCUCGAAAAAAUUGCCGGGUUCCGGCUCGGCUUUCAACGCGACCCCAGGUCAGGCGGGGUUACCCGCUGAAUUUAAGCAUAUCAAUAAGCGGAGGA
RNAcentral lists this unclassified non-coding RNA (390 nucleotides) under soil metagenome. Its description in RNAcentral is "partial contains 5.8S ribosomal RNA, internal transcribed spacer 2, and large subunit ribosomal RNA". The stretch from base 4 to 121 matches the Rfam family "5.8S ribosomal RNA", at positions 39 to 154 of the family's 154-position model. The record is from RNAcentral.